Molecule: ribosomal RNA, 440 nt
Filed under: uncultured bacterium
Lineage: Bacteria
Description: partial 16S ribosomal RNA
Rfam family: Bacterial small subunit ribosomal RNA
Source: RNAcentral
CCUACGGGUGGCUGCAGUGGGGGAUAUUGCACAAUGGGGGGAACCCUGAUGCAGCGACGCCGCGUGAGCGAAGAAGUACCUCGGUAUGUAAAGCUCUAUCAGCAGGGAAGAAAAUGACGCUACCUGACUAAGAAGCCCCGGCUAAAUACGUGCCAGCGGCCGCGGUAAGACGUAUGGGGCAAGCGUUAUCCGGAUUUACGGGGUGUAAAGGGAGCGCAGGCGGUCUGCAAAGUCUGGUGCGAAAACCCGGGGCCAACCUCCGGGCCUGCAUUGGAAACUGGCGGGCUGGAGUGUCGGAGGGGCAGGCGGAAUUCCUGGUGUAGCGGUGAAAUGCGUAGAUAUUAGGAGGAACACCGAUGGCGAAGGCAGCCUGCUGGACGGUGACUGACGCUGAGGCUCGAAAGCGUGGGGAGCAAACAGGAUUAGAUACCCCUGUAGUC